UUGCACGCUGGCGGCAGGCCUAACACAUGCAAGUCGAACGGUAACAGGGAUCAGCUUGCUGAUUCGCUGACGAGUGGCGGACGGGUGAGUAAUGUCUGGGAAACUGCCUGAUGGAGGGGGAUAACUACUGGAAACGGUAGCUAAUACCGCAUAACGUCGCAAGACCAAAGAGGGGGACCUUCGGGCCUCUUGCCAUCGGAUGUGCCCAGAUGGGAUUAGCUAGUAGGUGGGGUAACGGCUCACCUAGGCGACGAUCCCUAGCUGGUCUGAGAGGAUGACCAGCCACACUGGAACUGAGACACGGUCCAGACUCCUACGGGAGGCAGCAGUGGGGAAUAUUGCACAAUGGGCGCAAGCCUGAUGCAGCCAUGCCGCGUGUAUGAAGAAGGCCUUCGGGUUGUAAAGUACUUUCAGCGGGGAGGAAGGGAGUAAAGUUAAUACCUUUGCUCAUUGACGUUACCCGCAGAAGAAGCACCGGCUAACUCCGUG
Molecule: ribosomal RNA, 489 nt
Filed under: uncultured bacterium
Lineage: Bacteria
Description: partial 16S ribosomal RNA
Rfam family: Bacterial small subunit ribosomal RNA
Source: RNAcentral